This 465-nucleotide ribosomal RNA is filed under the name Corynebacterium durum. Its description in RNAcentral is "bacterial SSU rRNA". It matches the Rfam family "Bacterial small subunit ribosomal RNA", at positions 28 to 494 of the family's 1533-position model. Lineage: Bacteria; Bacillati; Actinomycetota; Actinomycetes; Mycobacteriales; Corynebacteriaceae. The record is from RNAcentral.
GACGAACGCUGGCGGCGUGCUUAACACAUGCAAGUCGAACGGAAAGGCCCGCCACCUUGGUGGUGGGUACUCGAGUGGCGAACGGGUGAGUAACACGUGGGUGAUCUGCCCCGCACUGUGGGAUAAGCCUGGGAAACUGGGUCUAAUACCACAUACGACCAUGGCGUAGGGGUCAUGGUGGAAAGCUUUAUUGCGGUGUGGGAUGAGCCCGCGGCCUAUCAGCUUGUUGGUGGGGUAAUGGCCUACCAAGGCGGCGACGGGUAGCCGGCCUGAGAGGGUGGACGGCCACAUUGGGACUGAGACACGGCCCAGACUCCUACGGGAGGCAGCAGUGGGGAAUAUUGCACAAUGGGCGCAAGCCUGAUGCAGCGACGCCGCGUGGGGGAUGGAAGGCCUUCGGGUUGUAAACUCCUUUCGCCCGGGACGAAGCCCACCUUGGUGGGGACGGACCGGAGAAGAAGCACC